Diceros bicornis minor is the source of this 242-nucleotide long non-coding RNA. RefSeq lists it as uncharacterized. The transcript has 3 exons. Lineage: Eukaryota; Metazoa; Chordata; Mammalia; Perissodactyla; Rhinocerotidae. The record is from RefSeq and is a predicted model, not a curated record.
UGCACCCAAGAGAUGGUCGAGGAGCUGGUGGAUGGUUUCCAGUUCACCCUCUCCCUGGAGAGAACACAAGUGCACCAGUCCAUCAAUGACCAGGGCUGCUCUGAGUGUGAGGAUGAGUUCACUGUGAAUUUAAAUGAGGCCUGCAGGAUGCGUGCCCUCCAGGCAGGCAUGAUGGAGAAGCUGACAGAGUCCAUGGCACCAGCUUUCCUGAGUCCUGUCCUCCAUCGUACAUCCCAAGUGGU